GUGCAGCCGCCGCGGUAAUACGGAGGAUCCAAGCGUUAUCCGGAAUCAUUGGGUUUAAAGGGUCCGUAGGCGGUCUGGUAAGUCAGAGGUGAAAUCUUGCAGCUCAACUGUAAAAUUGCCAUUGAUACUGGAUUUCUUGAAUUAGUGUGAAGUGGUUAGAAUGUGUAGUGUAGCGGUGAAAUGCAUAGAUAUUACACAGAAUACCAAUUGCGAAGGCAGAUCACUAACACUAUAUUGACGCUGAGGGACGAAAGCGUGGGGAGCGAACAGGAUUAGAUA
RNAcentral lists this ribosomal RNA (279 nucleotides) under uncultured bacterium. Its description in RNAcentral is "partial 16S ribosomal RNA". It matches the Rfam family "Bacterial small subunit ribosomal RNA", at positions 505 to 784 of the family's 1533-position model. The record is from RNAcentral.